UAAUACGUAGGUGGCAAGCGUUGUCCGGAUUUAUUGGGCGUAAAGCGAGCGCAGGCGGAAUGAUAAGUCUGAUGUGAAAGCCCACGGCUCAACCGUGGAACUGCAUCGGAAACUGUCAUUCUUGAGUGCAGAAGAGGAGAGUGGAACUCCAUGUGUAGCGGUGGAAUGCGUAGAUAUAUGGAAGAACACCAGUGGCGAAGGCGGCUCUCUGGUCUGCAACUGACGCUGAGGCUCGAAAGCAUGGGUAGCGAACAGG
RNAcentral lists this ribosomal RNA (256 nucleotides) under uncultured bacterium. RNAcentral describes it as "partial 16S ribosomal RNA". It matches the Rfam family "Bacterial small subunit ribosomal RNA", at positions 521 to 776 of the family's 1533-position model. The record is from RNAcentral.